Molecule: ribosomal RNA, 159 nt
Filed under: Colletotrichum gloeosporioides
Lineage: Eukaryota; Fungi; Ascomycota; Sordariomycetes; Glomerellales; Glomerellaceae
Description: 5.8S ribosomal RNA
Rfam family: 5.8S ribosomal RNA (bases 50-159)
About the family: 5.8S ribosomal RNA (5.8S rRNA) is a component of the large subunit of the eukaryotic ribosome. It is transcribed by RNA polymerase I as part of the 45S precursor that also contains 18S and 28S rRNA.
Source: RNAcentral
AACUCUAAUUCGACGACGUUUCUUCUGAGUGGCACAAGCAAAUAAUUAAAACUUUUAACAACGGAUCUCUUGGUUCUGGCAUCGAUGAAGAACGCAGCGAAAUGCGAUAAGUAAUGUGAAUUGCAGAAUUCAGUGAAUCAUCGAAUCUUUGAACGCACA